UUGAAUUCAAUACAUCUACUAAUGAUAUUAUUUUAACAUCAGAUAGUGAAAACAAAGAUUAUUUUAAAAAUAAUGAGAUCGGGCAAAAAAUUAUUGAUAUACAUACUUUAAAGAGAUAUAAUAAACAAUCAAUACAUUCUAGUACUACAGAUACACAAAGGAAAAAAGAAAAUGCAUCAGGAUGAUCGUUACUCAAUGCGAAGAGUUAUUGCAAUUGUACCUAGAAUAACCCGGCAAUAUGUUCGUAAGCUAAUUGAGACAGAACAGCGAUUAAUAAUAUGUUUAAGGGUUCGUAAUCGCGGAUCACUCGCUUGUUAACUUUUCGGGUCUCUCGGACGACUGACUGGUCGGAGCGCUUAGGCAUUUCACCCAAAAACGGGGCAAGCGUGCCUCGCAGGGAAGAUCACGACGUGCUCACGCUUGAGAGUCGUAUAGUAUCACGCGCCUAUCAUGCCGAAUAACAGUUCGGACGGACUCCGAACAGAGAUUAUUCAUUUAGACGGAGUGCAGGCUCGUACUCCUAAAAUUUCACGAUAUAAUAACGGCAAUGUGCCCUACGAGCUACAGAUCCAGAGUAAUACAACAAUCUUCAAUUUUGGGAAAUAUAAUAUGGAACGAACCAAUUUAAUCGAACCGGAGCUUGUGGAGUUUUGUGAUGUAAUGAAUACAUCAUCAA
Non-coding RNA from Nylanderia fulva, 676 nucleotides. The record is from RefSeq and is a predicted model, not a curated record. NCBI's taxonomy places the organism in Eukaryota, Metazoa, Arthropoda, Insecta, Hymenoptera, Formicidae.